This 484-nucleotide ribosomal RNA is filed under the name uncultured bacterium. RNAcentral's name for it is "bacterial SSU rRNA". It matches the Rfam family "Bacterial small subunit ribosomal RNA", at positions 30 to 507 of the family's 1533-position model. The record is from RNAcentral.
AUUGAACGCUGGCGGCAUGCCUAACACAUGCAAGUCGAGCGGUAGAGAGGUGCUUGCAUCUCUUGAGAGCGGCGGACGGGUGAGUAAUGCCUAGGAAUCUGCCUAGUGGUGGGGGAUAACGCAGCGAAAAGCUGUGCUAAUACCGCAUACGCCCUGAGGGGGAAAGCGGGGGAUCGAAAAACCUCGCGCGAUUAGAGCGGCCGAUGCCUGAUUAGCUUGUUGGUGGGGUAAAAGCCCACCAAGGCGACGAUCAGUAGCUGGUCUGAGAGGACGAUCAGCCACACUGGGACUGAGACACGGCCCAGACUCCUACGGGAGGCAGCAGUGAGGAAUUUUGGACAAUGGGCGCAAGCCUGAUCCAGCAAUGCCGCGUGCAGGAUGAAGGCCUUCGGGUUGUAAACUGCUUUGUACGGAACGAAACGGUGAGCUCUAAUACAGUUUGCUAAUGACGGUACCGUAAGAAUAAGCACCGGCUAACUACGUG